AAAAGGAAAAAUAUGUGCCUCAAUCGUCGUUCUGUUCCUCAAAUUAGAAGUUGGGUACAUAACAAAAUACCCAAAAACCGUAAACCAUGACGUACUGAUCCUGACACUGAACACAGUUUCUCAGAUGAGAAUAUAUCUUUCAAUUUUCUUCAUAUUCCAUUAUAUUAUAUUAUUACUAUUAAACUAUUAUAGUCUACUUUAAGUUCAGGAAUCUUUCGAAAAGAUCAAAGUAUACGAAACACAAUCAAAAACGUACUAAAACAAACGACAAAAUGUAUCUACCAUCUGUCUUAAGAGAUAACGUAUAUAAAGAGAUAUUCAAACUUCUUUUAUGUAUAA
Molecule: long non-coding RNA, 339 nt
Organism: Ooceraea biroi (clonal raider ant)
Lineage: Eukaryota; Metazoa; Arthropoda; Insecta; Hymenoptera; Formicidae
Source: RefSeq, a predicted model, not a curated record